AGGGGCUUAGGAUAAUCAAGACCAAGGGCCUUCAAAGCCCUAAGUGGGAGUUAGAACCUCUCAGUCCCUG
Molecule: transfer RNA, 70 nt
Filed under: Priolepis semidoliata (half-barred goby)
Lineage: Eukaryota; Metazoa; Chordata; Actinopteri; Gobiiformes; Gobiidae
Description: tRNA-Trp
Rfam family: tRNA
About the family: Transfer RNA (tRNA) molecules are approximately 80 nucleotides in length. Their secondary structure includes four short double-helical elements and three loops (D, anti-codon, and T loops).
Source: RNAcentral